AUAUCAAUAAGCGGAGGAAAAGAAACCAACAGGGAUUGCCUUAGUAACGGCGAGUGAAGCGGCAAAAGCUCAAAUUUGAAAUCUGGCACCUUCGGUGUCCGAGUUGUAAUUUGAAGAAGGUAACUUUGGAGUCAGCUCUUGUCUAUGUUCCUUGGAACAGGACGUCACAGAGGGUGAGAAUCCCGUGCGAUGAGAUGUCUGAUUCUAUGUAAAGUGCUUUCGAAGAGUCGAGUUGUUUGGGAAUGCAGCUCUAAGUGGGUGGUAAAUUCCAUCUAAAGCUAAAUAUUGGCGAGAGACCGAUAGCGAACAAGUACAGUGAUGGAAAGAUGAAAAGAACUUUGAAAAGAGAGUGAAAAAGUACGUGAAAUUGUUGAAAGGGAAGGGUUUGAGAUCAGACUUGGUAUUUUGUAUGUCUUGCUUUCGGGUGGGGCCUCUACAGUUUACUGGGCCAGCAUCGGUUUGGACGGUAGGAUAAUGACAUUGGAAUGUGGCACCACUUCGGUGGUGUGUUAUAGACUUUGUUGAUACUGCCUGUCUAGACCGAGGACUGCGUCUUUGA
RNAcentral lists this ribosomal RNA (559 nucleotides) under [Candida] sp. BG03-3-25-1-5. RNAcentral's name for it is "eukaryotic LSU rRNA". It matches the Rfam family "Eukaryotic large subunit ribosomal RNA", at positions 40 to 606 of the family's 3401-position model. The record is from RNAcentral. Lineage: Eukaryota; Fungi; Ascomycota; Saccharomycetes; Saccharomycetales.